Long non-coding RNA from Pseudophryne corroboree (corroboree frog), 1509 nucleotides. RefSeq lists it as uncharacterized. NCBI's taxonomy places the organism in Eukaryota, Metazoa, Chordata, Amphibia, Anura, Myobatrachidae. The transcript has 3 exons. The record is from RefSeq and is a predicted model, not a curated record.
UCAGUUCUAAAUCUGAAUUUCUUAUGUGUUAUUAGACAGUAUGCUAUGUAGCUCAUACAUGCUUGUAUAGACAGCUCUAUAGUUGUUUACUAAUACAUUGAUCAGAUAUAAUUAUUGACAUGACAUUGAUAAAAAAAUUUAUGAUGUAAUGUAUUGAUCGCAGCCACUGCACAUGGAUGCGAUCCAUGUGCUUAAUGUUUUUAUAUUGUAUGUGUAUAUUCAUAUACAGUACAACUUUGUUGUGUUUUUUUGUAUUAUUUUAGCUUUCACAAGUGGUGUGUUGUCAGUUGUCAUGGGAACCGUCGUUUUUUCCUGGCCGAUCUGCAUAGUGACCAGGAAAUGGAAAUGGGACGGAGAAUGCUGGCAUUGGUGAUGGGAGCACUUAAAAGCUGUAUCCAUGGUGAUGGGGUGCACCGCGUCACUGCACCGGCGACUGGCUGCUGUGAGUGACGUCAUUGGUGUCUGAUGCCUGCCGGGUGUGUGGUCUCGGAUGCGGUAUGGGCAUUACACGUGGUGUUGUAAGAUAUAUAAGGUUCCAGUUCCUGUCUCCAAGCUUCCACUAAAGAGAUCCGCACCUGCCUACCAUCCUGCGGUGCAGCCUGACUCUCCAAUCCUCUGGGACUCAUCUGUUUCCAGCUACAGAUUCACCUGCUUCCAGCAGAGAUCAGCUCUUCUUAAAGUGCCGGUACCAUUUCUGCAGAUUUCCAUUUACCACCGGUACUAAUAUUUCAUUUAGAAUACUGUAUUCAGUUCUGGAGGCCAUAUCUUCAAAAGGAUAUUAAUACAUCAGAAACUGUACAAAGGAGGGCAACUAAAAUGGUGCAUGGCCUACAUCACAAAACAUACCCAGAAAGACUAAGAAAUCUCAAUAUGUAUAGUUUGGAGCAGAGAAGGGAAAGGGGGGACAUGAUAGAAACUUUCAAAUAUAUCAAGGGUUUUAAGUCCAGGAGGGAAACAUUCUCCAAAUGAAGAGAAGCAAUAGGACACGAGGACAUACACUGAGACUGGAGGGGGGGAGGUUCAGGGGAAAUUUGCGGGAAAAUUAUUUCACAGAAAGGGUAGUGGACAAGUGGAAUAGCCUCCCAUCAGAGGUGGUAGAGGCUAAAACAGUAGAGCAAUUUAAACAUGCAUGGGAUAGACAUAAGGAUAUCCUUACAAAGAAAUAAGGAUCAAAUAAGGUUAGAAAUAAAAAUAAUAUAAAAAAAAAAAGGGGGCAGACUAGAUGGGCCAAGUGGUUCUUAUCUGCCGACAAAUUCUAUGUUUCUAUGUUUCUAUCGCUCUCAAGCUCCAUAUAUCAUUCAUAUUUCAUCGCUCUCAAGCUUCAUUUAUUAUUUGGCUGGUUCCAUCCAGUAAUCCACUCCGUGUCUACAUCUGUCUGGUUCCAACCAGUGAAGUACUGAAAGGAAAAGGAUUGUCUCUUUGUUGGCGCACUUUCAAUAGAAGAGUGUGUGUAUUUAAAAUAUAACUUUUAAUUCCAUAUGAUUAAAAAUGCCUGAGAACGUGAAAAAU